GCCAGCAUAGUAUAGUGGUCUGAGCAUUGGACUAUGACUCUGGAGAUCUGGGUUUGAUUCCCUGUUCCGUCA
Non-coding RNA from Phrynosoma platyrhinos (Desert horned lizard), 72 nucleotides. Lineage: Eukaryota; Metazoa; Chordata; Lepidosauria; Squamata; Phrynosomatidae. The record is from the annotation of a GenBank genome assembly.